This 198-nucleotide ribosomal RNA is filed under the name uncultured bacterium. RNAcentral's name for it is "partial 16S ribosomal RNA". It matches the Rfam family "Bacterial small subunit ribosomal RNA", at positions 328 to 539 of the family's 1533-position model. The record is from RNAcentral.
ACGCUCGACACCUACGGGGGGCAGCAGUGGGGAAUAUUGCACAAUGGGGGAAACCCUGAUGCAGCGACGCCGCGUGGAGGAAGAAGGUCUUCGGAUUGUAAACUCCUGUUGUUGGGGAAAAAGAGGAUGGUACCCAACAAGGAAGUGACGGCUAACUACGUCCCAGCAGCCGCGGUAAUCUGAGCGGGCUGGCAAGGC